AUUGAACGCUGGCGGCAGGCUUAACACAUGCAAGUCGAGCGGGGGAAGGUAGCUUGCUACUGGACCUAGCGGCGGACGGGUGAGUAAUGCUUAGGAAUCUGCCUAUUAGUGGGGGACAACAUCUCGAAAGGGAUGCUAAUACCGCAUACGUCCUACGGGAGAAAGCAGGGGAUCUUCGGACCUUGCGCUAAUAGAUGAGCCUAAGUCGGAUUAGCUAGUUGGUGGGGUAAAGGCCUACCAAGGCGACGAUCUGUAGCGGGUCUGAGAGGAUGAUCCGGCACACUGGGACUGAGACACUGCCCAGACUCCUACGGGAGGCAGCAGUGGGGAAUAUUGGACAAUGGGGGGAACCCUGAUCCAGUCAUGCCGCGUGUGUGAAGAAGGCCUUAUGGUUGUAAAGCACUUUAAGCGAGGAGGAGGCUACUUUAGUUAAUACCUAGAGAUAGUGGACGUUACUCGCAGAAUAAGCACCGGCUAACUCUGUGCCAGCAGCCGCCGUAA
Molecule: ribosomal RNA, 501 nt
Filed under: uncultured bacterium
Lineage: Bacteria
Description: partial 16S ribosomal RNA
Rfam family: Bacterial small subunit ribosomal RNA
Source: RNAcentral